Epinephelus lanceolatus (giant grouper) is the source of this 469-nucleotide non-coding RNA. Lineage: Eukaryota; Metazoa; Chordata; Actinopteri; Perciformes; Serranidae. The record is from RefSeq and is a predicted model, not a curated record.
CAAGCCAGGUGUAACUUAUUCAGGUGAGUGCGCGUCCACGGCUUUCUUAAAAAGACCCCGAGAUCGAUCACAGAUUCACCGAUGCAGCAAUGGAGAGGGCACGUGCCGCAUACUUCUCACCCAGUGAGCAGCGUCUUAUCAUGGACACUUAUGAAGAGGUAAAACAUAUAAUCACGAAGAAAGGAAACACUGCAGCGAUAAUAAAGCAGAGAGAGAGCGCGUGGCAAACAAUUGCGGACUGACUGAAAGCGUGAGCAGUGGAAGUUAGGCAACUGCUGAUUUCACACCAGCAGAGUUCGCCCUGGAUCAGAACCGAGGCAGGCCGAUGAUGGAGGAGGGAGGGGGGGAAACCGCCCUCUUCAUACAAGCUCCAAUCAGACAGUGACUAAUCACAUUAUUUGUCAUACUUUUUUUUUAGCACAUUUUUAGUUAAAAUAGUUGCCUUUUUUGCCUUUAAUGGAGAGGACAG